Molecule: long non-coding RNA, 256 nt
Organism: Salvelinus namaycush (lake trout)
Lineage: Eukaryota; Metazoa; Chordata; Actinopteri; Salmoniformes; Salmonidae
Exons: 3
Source: RefSeq, a predicted model, not a curated record
UGCAUUUCAAAUAGAAACAUAUGAUCCUGAUCCUGUUCCUGACCCACUGACAUACAUGAUUACUGGGCCUAAAGCAAGCUACUUUAAUUGCAACGCAAACACAGGAAACGUAACCAUCCGGACCCCCUUGGAGAGAGAUGAUGAUGACAAGGGUGUAUUCACCAUCGAAGUUGUGGUUUCUGACGCUGAUUAUACAGUUUCCAAAAACAUUCAGAUCAUCAUAAUAGAUGCAAAUGAUAACCGACCCAUAUUUGAA